CGAAAAACUAAGGAUUUUCUUACCCCAGGAGUAGAUUACCUUAGCCGUAUUUGGCACAACUUUUUGGAAUUUUGGGUCCUCAAUGCUCUUCAACUUUGUAUUUAUUUGGCUUUUUUUUUAACUAUUUUGAUCUGAGCGUCACUGAUGAGUCUUAUGUAGACGAAACGCGCGUCUGGCGUAUAAAAUUAUAAUCCUGGUACUUUUGAUAACUAUUUACACCACUGGGUCGAUGCCACUGCUGGUGGACGUUUCGUCCCCGAGGGUAUCACCAGCCCAGUAGUCAGCACUUCGGUGUUGACAUGAACAUCAAUUAUAUGGUCAUUUUUAUAAAUU
Molecule: long non-coding RNA, 333 nt
Filed under: Mytilus galloprovincialis (Mediterranean mussel)
Lineage: Eukaryota; Metazoa; Mollusca; Bivalvia; Mytilida; Mytilidae
Source: RNAcentral